GACGAACGCUGGCGGCGUGCUUAACACAUGCAAGUCGAACGGAAAGGCCCUGCUUUUGUGGGGUGCUCGUGUGGCGAACGGGUGAGUAACACGUGAGUAACCUGCCCUUGACUUUGGGAUAACUUUAGGAAACUGGGGCUAAUACCGCAUAGGAGCUCCUGCUGCACGGGGGGGGUUGGAAAGUUUGGGCGGUGGUGGAUGGACUAGCGGCUUAUCAGCUUGUUGGUGGGGUAGUGGCUUACGAGGGCUUCGACGGGUAGCCGGCCUUGGAGGGGGACCGGCGUCCAGACGACUGCGGUACGGCGCAGACGCCUACGGGAGGCAGUAGUCGAGAGUAUUGCGCAGUAGGCGGGAGCCUGAUGUGGCAGCGCUGCGUGCGGGAUGACGGCCUUCGAGUGGUAAACAACUUUCGCCUUUGACGAAGAGGGAGUGACGGUAACUGGUAAAGAAGCACCGGCUAACUACGUG
RNAcentral lists this ribosomal RNA (468 nucleotides) under uncultured bacterium. RNAcentral's name for it is "partial 16S ribosomal RNA". It matches the Rfam family "Bacterial small subunit ribosomal RNA", at positions 28 to 507 of the family's 1533-position model. The record is from RNAcentral.